This 263-nucleotide long non-coding RNA is filed under the name Gallus gallus (chicken). The record is from RNAcentral. Lineage: Eukaryota; Metazoa; Chordata; Aves; Galliformes; Phasianidae.
CCAAUGGUUAUGUUUUCUUCUGUCUCAUACCUCAAGCACUUGUUCACCCACUCUCAUCUUCAGAAGAUUAACAAUGGCUUGGUCGCUGUAAGCUCUUACACUGGUGUUUUUGUCUUUUGUGUUGUCCAGAAGCGCUUUGAGAAUUGGUUUAAUUGUCUGAGGAUCCAGUGCAGGAAGAUGGUUUUUAUUUGCCCACCAGAUCAUUUUUUCUGCAACUAACUUUAUGUCACUGGAUGAGUUCUGGAGACACUUAAUAAAGAGGU